UGGGGAAUAUUGCACAAUGGAGGGAACUCUGAUGCAGCGACGCCGCGUGAACGAAGAAGGCUCUCGAGUCGUAAAGUUCUUUUAUAUGGGAAGAUAAUGACGGUACCAUAAGAAAAAGCCCCGGCUAACUACGUGCCAGCAGCCGCGGUAAUACGUAGGGGGCUAGCGUUGUCCGGAAUCACUGGGCGUAAAGGGUUCGCAGGCGGAAAUGCAAGUCAGGUGUAAAAGGCAGUAGCUUAACUACUGUAAGCAUUUGAAACUGCAUAUCUUGAGAAGAGUAGAGGUAAGUGGAAUUUUUAGUGUAGCGGUGAAGUGCGUAGAUAUUAAAAAGAAUACCGGUGGCGAAGACGACUUACUGGGCUCAUUCUGACGCUAAGGAACGAAAGCGUGGGUAGCAAACAGG
Molecule: ribosomal RNA, 403 nt
Filed under: Fusobacteriota bacterium
Lineage: Bacteria; Fusobacteriati; Fusobacteriota
Description: Fusobacteria bacterium partial 16S ribosomal RNA
Rfam family: Bacterial small subunit ribosomal RNA
Source: RNAcentral